Molecule: ribosomal RNA, 253 nt
Filed under: uncultured bacterium
Lineage: Bacteria
Description: partial 16S ribosomal RNA
Rfam family: Bacterial small subunit ribosomal RNA
Source: RNAcentral
UACGGAGGGUGCGAGCGUUAUCCGGAUUCACUGGGUUUAAAGGGUGCGUAGGAGGGCAGGUAAGUCAGUGGUGAAAUCUUCGAGCUUAACUCGGAAACUGCCGUUGAUACUAUCUGUCUUGAAUACCGUGGAGGUGAGCGGAAUAUGUCAUGUAGCGGUGAAAUGCUUAGAUAUGACAUAGAACACCGAUUGCGAAGGCAGCUCACUACACGAAUAUUGACUCUGAGGCACGAAAGCGUGGGGAGCAAACAGG